GAAAAGAUAAACACUGAUUUUCGUGUCUAACAUUUGAUAGCCUGUCUUAUUUAAAAUAAUUAUAAAAGAAAUUAAAAAAAUAAGUUAAUCAUAUUUUAUCAUCUAACAAUAAUAAAAAUACUAAUUAUAAAACAAUUUUAUAUAAGAUGGACAGUCAAACGUUGGCACGAAAACCCACGGUUUGCCUUAAG
This is a non-coding RNA of Oryza glaberrima (African rice), 191 nucleotides long. Lineage: Eukaryota; Viridiplantae; Streptophyta; Magnoliopsida; Poales; Poaceae. The record is from Rfam.